GACAGAGGAUGCAAGCGUUGUCCGGAAUUAUUGGGCGUAAAGAGCUUGUAGGCGGUUUGUCGCGUCUGCUGUGAAAUUUCGGGGCUCAACCCCGAACUUGCAGUGGGUACGGGCAGACUAGAGUGUGGUAGGGGAGACUGGAAUUCCUGGUGUAGCGGUGAAAUGCGCAGAUAUCAGGAGGAACACCGAUGGCGAAGGCAGGUCUCUGGGCCACUACUGACGCUGAGAAGCGAAAGCAUGGGGAGCGAACAGG
Molecule: ribosomal RNA, 253 nt
Filed under: uncultured bacterium
Lineage: Bacteria
Description: partial 16S ribosomal RNA
Rfam family: Bacterial small subunit ribosomal RNA
Source: RNAcentral